RNA transcript from Orcinus orca (killer whale), 16272 nucleotides. It is a transcript of the gene named SEC23 interacting protein, with no coding region annotated. NCBI's taxonomy places the organism in Eukaryota, Metazoa, Chordata, Mammalia, Artiodactyla, Delphinidae. The transcript has 21 exons. The record is from RefSeq and is a predicted model, not a curated record.
UGUUGGCCCCGACCGUGACCGGUUUCCGGCUGGUGGUUCCGCACCGGCCCCCAGUAGACGUGUAACGGAAGGUGGGCCGCAGCCAUGGCUGAGAGGAAACCUAACGGUGGCGGAGGCGCAGCUUCCACCUCCUCGUCGGGCACGAACUUACUUUUCUCCUCCUCGGCCACGGAGUUCAGCUUCAACGUGCCCUUUAUCCCAGUUACCCAGGCUGCCGCUGCCUCGGCCUCCCUGCUCUUGCCCGGAGAGGAUUCCACAGAUGUGGGUGAGGAGGACAGCUUCCUUGGUCAGACUUCUGCUCACACGUCUACCCCACAGACAUUUAGUUACUUCUCUCAGGUAUCAAGCAGUAGUGAUCCUUUUGGGAAUAUUGGACAGUCACCGUUAACAACUGCAGCAACAUCGGCUGGACAGUCAGCAUUCUCCAAGCCCCCAACUGCUCUCCCUUUUACCACCGGAUCCCAAGAUAUGUCGAAUGCAUUUUCACCAUCCAUUUCGAAGGCUCACUAUGGUGCUCCACCUGCUUCACAAACGGGAAUAAAUACUUAUCUGCCUUCUCAGCCUAGUAGUCUCCCUCCUUCAAAUUUUGGGAGCCCACCCCAAGGAACGCCCCAACAAGGAUACAAUCCAUAUCGCCACACAGCUGUAAGCAGCAGGGCUAAUCCUUAUAUUGCACCGCCACAGCUGCAGCAGGGCCAAACACCGGCCCAUCCUACCCAUCCCCCGCCCUCUGGACCCCCUGUUCAGAUGUACCAGAUGCCUCCAGGAUCUCUGCCAUCGAUUCCUCCUUCAGUGCAGCCAGGGCUGUCCCCUCCAACCCAGCAGCAGGCACCUGCUAGACCUGCGGGUCCCUCUGUGCAAGCGUCAUCUCUUUUUCUACUUCAAAACCAAUAUGAACCUGUCCAACCCCACUGGUUUUACUGCAAGGAGAUAGAAUACAGGCAACUGUGGAUGCCUUUCAGUGUGUUUGACUCUUUGAAUCUUGAAGAAAUCUAUAACUCAGUCCAGCCAGACCCUGAGAGUGUGGUUCUAGGCACUGAUGGAGGGCGCUACGACGUUUACCUCUAUGACCGGAUGAGGAAAGCCGUGUACUGGGAAGAGGAGCCAGCUGAAGUGAGACGCUGUACUUGGUUUUACAAAGGGGACACAGACAGCAGAUUUAUUCCCUAUACAGAGGAGUUCAGUGAAAAACUGGAGGCUGAAUAUAAAAAAGCUGUAACCACGAAUCAGUGGCACCGCAGAUUAGAGUUUCCGAGUGGGGAGACAAUUGUUAUGCACAAUCCAAAGGUUAUUGUUCAGUUCCAGCCCUCAUCAGUGCCAGAUGAAUGGGGGACCACACAAGAUGGACAGACAAGGCCCAGGGUUGUAAAGCGUGGAGUUGAUGAUAACCUUGAUGAAAUUCCUGAUGGGGAAAUGCCUCCGGUUGACCAUUUGGUGUUCAUGGUGCAUGGCAUUGGACCUGUGUGUGACUUGCGCUUUAGAAGCAUUAUUGAAUGUGUGGAUGAUUUUAGGGUGGUUUCUCUCAAAUUGCUGCAGACACAUUUCAAGAAAUCUUUAGAUGAUCGGAAAGUAAGCAGAGUGGAAUUCCUUCCGGUUCAUUGGCAUAGUUCCUUGGGUGGGGAUGCCACCGGUGUUGACAGGAAUAUUAAGAAAAUCACUUUACCAAGUAUUGGUCGGUUUCGUCACUUUACUAAUGAAACCUUGCUAGACAUUUUAUUUUACAACAGCCCCAUCUACUGUCAGAGGAUUGUGGAGAAAGUGGGAUUGGAGAUAAACCGUCUGUAUGCACUCUUCAUGAGUCGGAACCCAGACUUCAAAGGAGGGGUCUCUGUUGCUGGUCACAGUUUAGGUUCUUUAAUAUUGUUUGACAUCCUGUCUAAUCAAAAAGAUUUGAAUUUAUCAAAGUCUCCUGAGCCUUUAGCUGUUGCUAAUGGAGUUGUGAAGCAGCCACAUUUCCAGGAAAAGCAGAUACCUGAAGAGCCAAAGCUGACGUUGGAUGAGUCUUGUGACCUUGAUGUUGAAAAUGAAGAAGUCCUGACUUUGCAAGAAACUCUGGAAGCACUUAGCCUCUCUGAAUACGUUAGCACUUUUGAAAAGGAAAAGAUUGAUAUGGAAUCUCUGCUUAUGUGUACAGUGGAUGACCUGAAGGAAAUGGGGAUACCACUUGGACCCAGGAAGAAGAUAGCUAACUUUGUAAAACAUAAAGCAGCCAAACUGGAACAGAAAAAAGCAUCAGAAAAGAAGGCAGUGAUGGCUGCUUCGACAAAAGGACAAGAGGAAAGUGCUCAGAAAGCUAAAGAAAUGGCUUCUCCGCCCUCAGAAUCUAAUGAGUCCAAGAGGAAACUCCCACUCGGAGUUUGCGUUUCUUCUGUGCACGUUGAUUAUGAGUCUUUUGAAGUUGGCACUGGACAGGUUUCUGUUGUUUACAACUCCUUAGACUUUGAACCAGAGAUUUUCUUUGCCUUGGGAUCUCCAAUUGGUAUGUUUCUCACUAUUCGAGGAGUGGAUAGUAUAGAUGAGAACUACAGGCUUCCUACCUGCAAAGGGUUCUUCAAUAUUUAUCAUCCACUUGAUCCAGUGGCAUAUAGAUUAGAACCUAUGAUUGUACCAGAUUUGGACCUAAAAGCAGUUCUCAUUCCGCAUCACAAAGGCAGAAAAAGACUUCAUUUAGAGUUGAAAGAAAGUCUCUCUCGUAUGGGAUCUGAUUUGAAGCAGGGUUUCAUUAGCUCACUGAAAAGUGCUUGGCAGACAUUAAAUGAGUUUGCCCGUGCUCAUACCUCUUCAACUCAGCUGCAAGAAGAAUUGGAGAAGGUAGCCAAUCAAAUCAAAGAAGAAGAAGAAAAGCAAGUAGUUGAAGCAGAAAAGACUGUUGAAAGUCCAGAUUUUUCCAAGGAUGAGGACUACUUAGGAAAGGUUGGAAUGUUAAACGGAGGCCGCCGAAUUGACUAUGUUCUUCAAGAAAAGCCAAUAGAGAGUUUUAAUGAAUAUCUUUUCGCUCUUCAGAGUCACUUAUGCUAUUGGGAAUCUGAAGAUACUGCCCUGUUAUUACUUAAAGAAAUUUAUCGAACAAUGAGCAUUAGUCCAGAGCAGCCCCAGCAUUGAUUGGACUUCAGCUUCACUGUAACUGGAGAUAUACAAGAAGCUGAAUGGCAAUUCUAGAACUGAAAAAUAUAGCAGUGGAAGAUAAGAAUUCAGCAGUGGGUUUCACACCAGAUAAGACAUAGUUGAAGAGAGGAAUAGUAGAUUGGAAGGCUCCUCUUGGCUAUGGAAGUUUCUCAGACUUCGCUGGUUUCUGAUGACCUCGAAUAAACACUGCUGGCUUAAUCUGACCCUCUAUCAUUUUAAUAUGAAUUUACGAAAGAAAACUUUUCUUGAGUUCCUAAGAACAAAGGAAAAAUGUGGAAUGAUGUGCUUUUCCCAGGAUGACAGAAGGAGUGCUGUAAUAACACGUGAGUAUCUUGUCCAGCUGCCUGAUCCAUUGCAAGCAUACAAAGGUCACAUUGCAGUAUCACUGAAAAACUCUCUGCCAUAAAGUGACAUUCAGCAGGCAGGAGGCUGGCCUCAUGUGGCACCUGCAGGACACUUUUGGCUGCAAAUAAUAACUUAAAUAAUAAGGAGCUUCUUAUCUUACAUAACAAGAAAUGCAGACAUAGGUCUUCAGUGAAGUCAUCAAGUCUCUGUUGCUUCCUACCUUUCAGCUCUGCCCAUUCUCAGCUUGUUGGUAAUAUUUCUCCCCAUAGUUGCAAGUUAACCUUGGGAGGUCUGGGUUCUGAAUGCAACAACAUUCAGAAAAGGGGAGCAACGUUUUCUCCCUUGCAUGUCUUUUUAUUGGAAGGAAAACUUUCUGUGAAUCCCCCCAUUCCAACCCUGGACUUUCCCCCAAUCCUAACAGCCAUGAUGGAGUCUCAUAUUCAGGGUUGUACCAAUUGCUGCAGAGGGAAUUGGUUUCCCACUAUGGUUUACGAAUCAGCAUUCACCCCUUGGGGCUGGGGAAUGGCCUGUGAAGCCCAGGACACUCAAUACCUGAACAAAACUGGGGGUCUAUUAGCAAGGAAGGGGCAGGGGAAAGCAUCAGGAUCUGCCAAAGCACUUGGACGCCAUUGAUGGACACUCCAAAUGCCCUGAUGUCAGUCUUACCCAGCAGGCUGCCCCAGAACAACUUGGGGUAAGUGGUGCAUGAGGAACUGGUAAAAUAUUAAAACUUACUUAGUGUUUCUUAGAAGGAAGUUGAUAGUGUUAAUAUUUUAUAUACUAUAUUUAAUAUACUAUAUUAAUAUAGUUUAUUUAUAUGAUAUAUUUCUAUAAUCAUAAUUUUAUGUAUUAAUAAUACGUGAUAUAUCAUAUAUUUAAUGUAUUAAUAUUUAAUAUACAAAAAAGAGGGCUCAAAAUGAAUGAACUAACCAUUGAACUUAAGUUAAUAGAAGAAAAGUAGAAUAAACUCAUAGGAAGAACCACAAUGAUGGAAGUAAUAGCAUAAGAACAAACAUUAACAACACAGAAAACAUUAGAAUAACAAUAAGAAUAGGAGAACAUUUUUAUAGAGAGGAUCAACAAAGUCAAUUUGUUUCUUUGAAAAGGCUAAGAAAUUUUCAAGCUUUUCGUAAGAAUGAUCUAGAAAAAAACAAGAGGAACACAAAUAGUAUCAGAAAUGAAAAAGAUUAUAAAUGCAGACAUUAAAAUGUAAUAAAAUAAUAUAAACCACUUUAAGUCUAUAAAAAUGAAAGUUUAGAUGAAAUGGAAAAUUUGUAGAAAGGUAGAGCUAACCAAAAUUGAUUCAAGAAGAAAUGUGUACUGCAUAGGCUUAUGAUCUAAAGAAACUGAACCGUUUGUUAAAAAUCUUCCCCGAAAGGAUAUUCCAGAUGGUUUUUACUAGCAAGCGCUAUCAGAUAUUCAAGAAACAAAUAAAUCUAGUUUUAUACAAAUUAUUCCAGAUAUAGAAAAAGUGGGAACAAUCCUCAACUCAUUUUGAAAGUUGGAUAACUUUGGAUAAGGACUGAAUGGGAAAGGAAAAUCAUUCAUAAACAUAGUUAUAAAAAUCCCAAAGAAAAUAUUAGCAAAAUCCUUUAUCAAUUAAAUGUGUAAAUCAUGAACAAGUUGGGUUUGACUUAACAUUAUAAAAUAAUAUAAAUUAUCAUAUUAACAGAUUAAAGGAAAAUAGUUUUAGGAUUAUCUCAACACAUGCCAAAAAAAGCAUUUGAUGAAACUUCUGUUCAUGGUAAAAAAAAUUCUUAGUGAACAGAAGACUGACGAUGCCAGUUUGGCUGGCCCAUUGGCUAAGUAGCAGUUUCUCAGGAUGUUCCCUGAUGCUCUAUUGAAAGCUGACCACAGAACUCCUCUGUCCUUUGGGGCUCCUUUCCCGAGUUUCAGCUUUGUGCUGUUGUGUGAAAGUCUUGUAAAUAAAAACAGGCACAUGUUAUAUAUACUGUUCUCAUCCUUACUUAGUUCCAUUUGACAUACUUACUAUAGACAUAUUUUCUCUUCAAUAUGCAUAGAUCUACUGCACUCUAAUAGCUACAUAGAAAUCCAUUGUAUAUAAACCAUAAUUCAUAAACUUUGUUAAGAAAACAUAGUUCAGCAGCCUGAAGACUGAGGGCAACUCUUAAUACAUACAGAAUUAUUAUUGAGUUGGAUGGAAUGAAAACCAUAUAACAUAAAAAACUGGACAUUCUGGGCUUCCCUGGUGGCGCAGUGGUUGAGAAUCUGCCUGCCAAUGCAGGGGACACGGGUUCGAGCCCUGGUCUGGGAAGAUCCCACAUGCCGCAGAGCAGCUAGGCCCAUGAGCCACAACUACUGAGCCUGAGCGUCUGGAACCCGUGCUCCGCAAAAAGAGAGGCCGCGAUAGUGAAGAGGCCAGCGCACCGCGAUGAAGAGUGGCCCCCGCUUGCUGCAACUGGAGAAAGCCCUCGCACAGAAGCGAAGACCCAACACAGCCAAAAAUAAAAUAAAGAAUUAUUCUGCCUUCCUCACUGAAUUACUUAAAAAAACAAAACAGGGCUUCCCUGGUGGCGCAGUGGUUGAGAGUCCGCCUGCCAAUGCAGGGGACACGGGUUCGUGCCGCGGUCCGGGAGGAUCCCACAUGCCGCGGAGCGGCUGGGCCCGUGAGCCAUGGCCGCUGAGCCUGCGCGUCCAGAGCCUGUGCUCUGCAACGGGAGAGGGCACAACAGUGAGAGGCCCGCGUACCACCAAAAAAAACAAAACCAAAAACAAACAAACAAAAAAAAAUGGACAUUCAGUAGAUUUCCACCACCUGAGGAAAAAUCUGGGCUCCUCUGGGCUGUAAAAUCAUCACCCUGUGAACUGAGAUUUGGGCGAAUGUGACAAAAGCAACUUUUGAAGGUCAUCUUUCUGUAUACGGGUCCAAAAGUGAGGAGAAGAUAUUCAGCAGUGCUUCUGGGGAUGUGACCCAACAGAGAGAACGUGACUACAAAGUCCAUAAACCCGAGGUGCUUUCAUUCUAGAAAAAUCUAUAGUCACUCCAACUACCCACCCCCCAUCCCCCCAGGAAAUUUGUUGGAAUGUUUGUUUUAAACAAUACCGUCUGUGACUCCCAGUUUGGUGGACUGACUGUGGGGCAGGAAGGGGCUGGCCAGGCACCUUCCAGAACAAAGGGGACCUGGCUUGAGGGGGAGGAUGGGAGGUCGGGGGUGUGAGAAUGCAGGUCACAGGUUCAUCACUGCACUCUUUGGCAAGUGACUUGGUUUCUCCUGGGCCUUCUUUCCUCUUCUUUAAAAUGGGCAGGAUGGUGUUUGUUAAAUGGUGUUUGUGAGCCUUAAGUAAGAUAAGCUUCCCUGCCAAAGAAGGGUGGAUUUCAGAAUAUAGCAAACAGCUUGCCGUUUGGGGAAUGUUAUUCCAGGGAAUAGUUUUCAAGUGGAGUCAGACUGUGUUCUUCCUUGUGUUCAGGGGUUGCACUCAGAGUGAUAAUAAGGAAAGUAUCAUAAAGUAAUUUCUGGGUUAACCCAGCUGUUGGCCAUUCAUUUUUCCUUUUUGCUGGGUUGCCCCCUCUAAGACCCUCCUCAAACCACCAAGCAGCAGUGGGGCAGUCACUGGAAAGUGCCCAGGGGAGACUGGGAGAGGACUCUAAGUACCUCCCUCACCCCAUAAACAACUUAAACAACCUGAUUAGACAUUUCUAUUCUGUCCCCCAAAUCUCUCCUCUCUUGCCAGUAGGGGUUUCUCCCUCCUUGGGCAGAGCUCAGCCUAACUGGCUCAACCACGUAAAAACCUGCGGUUAAUAGACCCUGUCCUCACCUGAAAUCAGUUUGGCAACCCUACCCUUUUACUAGAGCAUAACCUUAGGGCCUUUACCAUACUGGUCCAUGCCAAAUUCUUAGCAAAACAUUUUUUCCACAAGAGAAGAUGUCGUGCCAGUUGCUACGAGAUUCUGUUUUCCCUCCAUAUUUUUGCAUCAGCAACAUUGUCGUGGGCAUGUGAAGCUGGCAGGAGCCUCUUCUGUCACUGCCAGACUCCUGAUAAUGUUGCAUGUGUUGCCUUGGCCACCUCUGGCUUCCUCAGUUAUGUGCAGCUGCUACUGGCUACAUGCAGAUCCCUCUUGGGCCAUGUCCAAGCUCUUCACAGCUCCCUCCACCCUUUCCAAGCACUCGCCCUGGUGGUAGGGAAUUCAGUGCGGAGGCUUGAGUGCCUGUGUGAUGGGGCCAUUGUAACUCCAGGACCCAGCGCUGCACCUACCCAGGAAAGCUACCCCCAAAUUUUUGUGGAACAAAUCCAUGUAUAUCCAUCGACUACCGAGUGUUAUAUAUUACCCUCCAUAUAACCUUCUACACUUUCUUGCUGUGGAAGGGUGUAUUAGUUUUCGAGGACUGCUAUAACAAAGUAGCACAAACUGGGUGGCUUAAACAACAGAAAUUGUCUCUCAGUUCUGGAGGCCAUGAAACUGAGCAGAACCCUGUAGGGGUUUUCCGGGUACAAAAGCCCUUCUGUGUUGCUUGUUUCUUGUUUGUAAAAAAACGCCUUUAGUCUCCUAGGCUUUCCCUGAGUUUCAGAGAGCAGGCUCAAACAGUUAAGUAAUUAGCGAAGUGAGGGAAUACAGAAAGGGAAAUCAGUCAAGCAAGAAAAGUAAUGAUAGCUUAAACAAUAGUUCAGAUAAAUAAAACAUAAAUUAAAUGAAAAACUUAAAAAAAUUAAAAAAUAAAAAAUAGUUCAGAUAAUGAAACAGAGUCCUGCCUCCCCCUCAGGGGAUAUAUAUAACAAUCUGAUGCUUAUCUUUGAGUUGUUCUGCAGAAACUAAGACACCCACCCAGGUGGAGGAUGGUGACUGCAUGCUGACCACAAGCAGGCAGACCCCAGACUGGCUGGAACCAGAAACUGAUGAUUAAGGUUCCUGAAACACCACCCUGUUACCUCACCACCAACCAAUCAGAAGAAAGUCAUGUACCCUGCAACUCUCACCCCAAAUGUUGCCUUUAAAAACCCUUCCCUGAAAGCCGUUGGGAGUUUGGGUCUUUUGACAACAAGCUGCCUGUCCGCCUUGCUUGACACCUGACUUCAUUUUAACUAAUUACAUCUGCAAUGAGUCUAAGUCAGGUCACAUUCUGAAGUACUGGGGUUAGAACUUGAACAUAGGAAUUUGGGGGUCGGGAUGUCAUUCAACCUAUAACAAGGGUUACCAAGUGGUAUAGUUCCUUUCCUUUGUUCUCAAUUCUGUUGCUCUUUCUCCAUUUAUGUUAGAAGAGGUUGAAACUUACAUAGAUUUCUUUGAAGUAUGGACAGAACUUUCCUUGAGGAGGACCAAGGAAAUGUUCCUCACCUUAACAAACCUUAUAAGAAUUUUGGGUUUUCUCUGAAUAUGACAACUGAGGCUAAGAAUCUUAGUGAUCACGUAAAUCGUGCUAUUUCAUCUCGACCUUGUGUAUCUGUGAAUAAACGAUAUUUUCUCUUUGGAAUCAGUGAACUGUUGGCACCUCAUUUUUAGCUGUGUGACUUUAAGUAAAAUGUAGUGCUGUCUUGUGACGGGAUGGACACAGCUGACACAACGUUUGUUAGAAGAAACCGGAAACGAUAGAAAUGGCAAACCUUUUCUCUACUGCUUGCUCAGACAGACGCUGCUCUAAGCACGGGACUCAUCCAACCGCCCCCAACCCCACCAGAGGGCUGCUGUUAACAAUCAUCCCAUUUACAGGUACAGAGACCAUGCACACAGAGCGGCCAGCAGAUGGCGCCAGAGCUAGAUUUGAAUCCAGGCAGCCUCAUUCCCACCUGGGAAGGCACGGGGUGAUUCUGACACUGUAACCAGGCUAGAGCUUGUAUGCCCGUGGCAGCUACAAAGUAAGUUUGCAGCAAAGUAAGGGUUUGUUGCAGGGCGCCGAGCAAGGGAGUGGGAGACAAGCCUCAGAUCCAUUCCAACUUGUUCUUUGAGUUAGGGGUUUUUUUUUUAAAGGGAAAGAACAAAGGGGCUGGGAUUAAUCAUGUCCUGUGACAUUUCUUUGACAUUCCUUAUUUGAGGUUUUGGAGUAAAGAUGUCUGUGGUUUACGAUUCUCUGGCGGGGUUGUCCACGGCUUGGGGGUCUGUUAGUUCAUCUUGCCCUGGAGAAACAACCUGAAUUUGUAGUUAAGGGUGAUAUCUAAACAGCAAUUUUAGCACAUUAACGAUGUUAUUGACAACAGCAAUUUUCGUACAAUAAUGACUAUCGACAGCAGCAGUUUUAGUCAUCUGACUUGUGGAUUAGUGUUCAGUUAUCCCAGGGUUGAGGUCAGAGGGGACAAGAAGGGGAAUAAAGUUUUAGAUAGGUUCAUCUUAAACGCGGCUUUAGGGGGGACUCGGUUUGAACACCUCACUCUAAUCCCAGCCAUUGCCUAGAGCCUCUCGGGGAAUACACAGCCCCCGUGGGAGUACAGCUAUCUUUCAGGGAGCCUUUGAAGAGCAUGGUGUUGGGAGUGGAAACUUACAUGGAUUAUAGUUAAUUUUUACCAUCUACAUUUCUGGCCAAGAAACUGUCUUGGUAAGAUGCAAAACUCAGUCAUGUGCCUGCCAACAGUGCCACAGCCUCGGGCCGUCAGGCAGUUGGCCCUGCCCCACACUGGCCCUGGAAGUGUCACCUCUUCAGGUGCCCGGUGGAGCCUGUUCCCUUUGGAAGUCCUCCAGCUCCUGUCUCUCCCCGGCCUGUGGCUGACGCUCUCUGGGCAAUUCUCCAUUCAUUAACCGUUCCCUCAGGGUUUAAGGCAGAGGAAAGAAGCUAAUACCUAGUGUGGAACUUGGCAGAGGGAAGGAUGGCAGGAGCGAGAUUGGAGCCAGUGGCUUAGAUGCACGGAGGGGGUUUGCCGCCCUGCUCUGCUGGCUUGGUCUCCAAGGUCAUGGUGAAGAUGCACACAUUUUACUUGGGGAGAGAGAGGGAAAAGGGCCAGUUGUGGAGGACAUAUCUGCUUCCCAUGAAGUGACAGAGAAUAUGCCCCAAGGAACCCUAGUCAGGACACACCAGGGGCUGGGGCAGUUUUCAGAGCCCAGAGGAUCUGCUUAAAGAAUGGGCUUCUGGUGACUGGUUAAGGGGGGCGGCAUUGGGAAGAAGAAGAAAGGGGAGGGACUGGACGGGGUGAGGGGGAGAAAAGCCAAAGGUGGCCAGGCUCACCGUCUUGCCUGGGGCUUACCUGGAAAUUUUGCCUUGGGGUUGACUCAUUAUUACGGCUAACAGUUAUGGAGGAAUGGGAAGAACUGGCCUAUGAGUGGCUAAGUCAUUUUAUGGACAAAUAUGUACCUCUAUUUUCCUAACUGUAAAAUGGGACAGCAGCUUUCCAGGAUGGCAUUGGGCUAGGAAUGUGGGUUUUGCAGCUGCAGCACUGCUGGCGUUCCCGUCCAGCUCUGAUGCUUUCUGUGUGAACUUGAGCAUCUCUAAGCCUAGACAAUCUCUCAGCAGCGAAUGAGAGAAACACACUGGGGUUGGGGAAUGGGGAGAGAUCUCUAUGGGACCUACAUGCUGAGGACUGAGAGCUGAAUUCUCCAUGCUGGAACAUGAUUUUAUAAACUAUGCCCAUGUAGAGCUGACUCAUGCUUGCUGGGUUUGUGUGGAUAAAACAGAAACUAGCCAGAGCAGAUUCUGGAGAACAGAACUGGUUCUGCUUGGAAUCAUGUGAGACAAAUCAACAGUAGCUUGUCAAAAAACUGUAUGUAGGACUAGAGUCUUGGGAAACCACCAUAUGUUAAUGACUGAAUUUAGUUUUGUGAGUAUCUGCAUACAUGUGAUGUAAAUUUAAAUUCUAACCUUCUCACAAUGCUAGAUCUAUCUGUGAAGUGUUAAAAAACAAAAUUCAAGUGAGUAAAUUUGAAGAUUUAAUGGAGUUUAUUAAGUGACUGAUGAGUCGGGCAGCAUCCAUUCUACCAGCUAGAAGGAGACUCGGAGAAGGUUGUACAAAAUGGAAAGCUUUUUGUUUUUUUUUUAAAUUUAUUUAUUUAUUUUAUUUAUUUAUUUUUGUCUGCGUUGGGUCUUCGUUGCUAUGCGCUGACUUUCACUAGUUGCAGCGAGCGGGGACUACUCUUCGUUGUGGUGCAAGGGCUUCUCACUGCGGUGGUUUCUCUUGUUGCAGAGCACGGGCUCUAGCCACGUGGGCUUCAGUAGUUGGGGCACGUGGGCUCAGUAAUUGUGGCUCGCAGGCUCUAGAGCCCAGGUUCGGUAGUUGCGGCGCAUGGGCUUAGUUGCUCCGCGGCAUGUGCUACCUUCCUGGACCAGGGCUCAAACCCGUGUCCCCUGCAUUGGCAGGCGGAUUCUUAACCACUGCGCCACCAGGGAAGCCCUGACCCUCUUUUUAAAUGUUGCAGUUAAACACGACAGUUUGUAAAGAAUUUCCAGAGAGUUUAUAAACUCAGGGGUCCAUCUCUGUUUAAGAAACUGAGUGCACGGACUUCCCUGGUAGCUUUCAGGUUUGCAUUCCUGCUUUCAACUUUGUAUAAUUACUUAGGGAUUACUUUGUAUGUACUCUCAGAUAUGUCUAUUUGCCAGCCACUGCCCGUGCAAAUAUUCGACUUGAAAAGAGUGUGUGUAUAAGGCCGCAUGUUUGGAUAACACUCCCAGAUCAUUCCAUGUGGGAAGAAUUCCACUAGAAAACACACCCACUGUUUCUUCCACUGAUUCAGCUUUGAACCUGCUUAAGCCAAUUUGUUGCUAUUCUGAUCAUGGUCAGCAGUUAUAUUAAAGUCCUGAUAAAUCAAUUUACAAGUCAAGCAGUUUCGCACUGCAGGGUAUUACUUUGUGGGGAGAGAAGAGAUGGGAGUAGUAGCUUGGGAUUCAUAAUCGAUGCACCUCUCUUGUAUAGACCCUUUCCUUAGAGUAGGAUUUUGUGCAGGCAUGCCAUAAAGCAAAUCUUAUGAAGCCUGAAACAGCACAAAGUGAACUUUCCAGGUUCUCAGAUUCCCUGAUUUGUUAAAGGUCAGGUUGCUCUCUGUGGGGAAGUUGGACCCUGAGCACAGAGCCAGGUUUAUGCCUUAAGAUGAACUUGUGAGUGCUGUGGUACCCAGUGCUUCCAAGAACCAGAAGAGCCAUCUGGGGUGAGGACACAGCUUUGACCUCCCACCCCCAACUGGCUCAACAAGAGACAGACAUAGCAAAGAAAGAACCUUCUCGGAAGUGUUGCCAUUUGCAAUUUUUUUUUUUUUUCUUGCAUAGUAAGUGGUGGGUAGAAUAUUGUGGCUGGGAGUUUUCCUGCUCAACUAAAGUCAUGGUUCUUUGAUUAAAUCCAUAUCUCCUCAGAAGAUUAUGACCCAUCCAGAAGGCUUUAUGCUUAACUUCUGAGUGCUGGGGAGGACAGGAGGCCUGCUCUCAUAAUUUUGUUUUUAUUAGAAGCAUUUAUCACACUGUCGUAACUCUUACUUUUGUAUUAAAAUUUCCACAUGGCAUUUUUAAAGUAAAAGCUUUGUCUUAUUGCAAUUUUUUUAUUGAAGUGAAAAUCACAGGACAUAAAAUGAACCAUUUUAAAGUGAAAAAUUCAGUGGAUUUAGUAUAUUCACAGUGUUGCACAAUCACCACCUCUGUCUAGUUCCAAACAUUUUCAUCACCCCGUAAGGAAACACUGGACCCAUUAAGCAGUUACUUUCUAUUCCCCCCUCUACCUAGAAUCCUGGCAGCCAGCAAUCUGCAUUCUAUCUCUAUGGAUUUAUCUAUUCUGAUAUUUCAUAUAAAUGAAAUCAUAUAAUAUGUGGCUUUUAGGUUGCUUCCUUCACUUAGAAUAAUAUUUUCAAGGUUUAUCCACAUUGUGGCAGGUAUCAGAACUCCAUUCCUUUUUAUGGCUGAAUAAUAUUCCAUUGUGUGGAUCUGCCACAUUUGGUUUAUCCAUUCAUCUGUUCAUGGACAUUUGGACUGUUCCCACCUUCGGUUGAAUGCUUUGUUUGGGAAUUAGACACCAGAGCAUAUGACACUAAGUGGCAACUCAUAUGGUGGCAAGAUUCUUUGAUGGAAGAGUCACUCCAUGGUACACAUCGCAAGGGAGAAAUGAUAAUUCUAUAGGAGACAGAAAGAGAAGAACGUUCCUGGUAAUUGUCUAGUCCAUGAUGAAGACUGGAAUGGCUCUGCUUUAUCACCCCUGAUUUACCUUGGUUCUCAAGAUUGAUUAGACAAGGCAUAAUAUACACUAAUUAGAAAUAUUUCCAGCCCUGCCUUGCUUCACAGUUACCAUUUAAAAAAAUCAUCCAUGGUUCCGUAGAACUUAAACAUUUCUUUUCAUUUGUAUAUUUGCCUGCCACAAAACAUUUGUCUUUAUUUCAAGAUUUUUUUCAAGUCAACUUUCCUCGAACAAUCCACGGUGAAAUUCAACAAAUAAACCACAUUUCCUGUCACUUAUGGAGACAGAAAGUCGAAGAUGGAGAAACCCUUAGGCUUCAGUUUUAGUUCCUCUAACGGCAAGAUUUUUCAGUGUGUGGCAUAUUCCAAGACCUUACCACUGAGAACUUUUCCUUGAAAAAAAAAAUAUAGCAGCUGGCCUAUUUUCUGCUGUCAAAUUUUGAUACACUCUCUUGAUUCAUUUGAGAUACGUGGACUCAGUGCUUUUAGAAAUUUUCCUUUUCUGACCCAAUGGAGAAAUCCACCUCGAUAAGAACCAGUCAGGCAGAUUGCAUGGUCAGACUCAGACGUGGUGUUCUUUGUUUUUGUUUUUGCUUUUUUACCAAUCUUUGUCAGUUAAUCUGAAGGAAAUCUUCACUGGCCAUUUGUUAGAGCAUAAUUUUUAGGGAUGUAAUUAUUACUGUAAUUUUUAGGGAUGUGUCCAUAGGAAUUUUUAGGGAUGUGUCCAUAGGAAUCCCAGGUGGGGUUGCAGAGAACAGUGUUUCUGUCUACGGCUCCAGAGGGAGCCCCCAAGGAGUCUUCUUUAUCUUCCUAAGUCUUGGUGAUUUAUAGUUUGCAUUCUAGUCUCAGAGAACACAGAUCUCAUGAACCCCAAAGUGGUUUGCUUUGCUGCUGGUAAUCUAGUUUGCAAAGUUAUUGCUUUCAAGAGAUUCCUAAUGUGGUCUUAGAUAUAUGGUCUCAUGUCAAAUUCCAGUGGAGAAACGAGGAAUAAUGCUCUCCCAAUCGCUCCUAGCCUCGGGUUCCAGUUUCCAGUUUUAUGACAGGUAACAAGAGAAUAACGAAAGAAACAGAUAUUCUUAGAGCAAUUAAAAAUGUGCAUGGGAACAAAAUGAAAUGUAGCCACUUGUUUUUAGUCAGUUUUCUCACCAUCCUUUUGGGUCCUCAUCACACCCAUUCUCAGUCCAUCUUUUUCUUAGGCGCCCAUUGAUAGGGACCGUGGGUGAUUUUGAAUCUGAUGUCCUUGGUUCCGAGCUCUACCACUUACCAUCUGCGUCACAUUGAGCAAGUUACUUAACCACUCGAAAUAGCAACCUCCUCAUCUAUAAAGUGGCAAUAAUUCCUAGGGGUUAUUGUGAGGAUUAAGUGAGAUCAUAUAUGUAAAAUGCUUAGCCCUGUCCUAGCUACUUAAACAAGGUACAGUAAAAAGGUCCAUAUUAUUGUUAUUCAAGUAAAUGCCGAACAUGUCACUCAACUUCAGUUCUUUGAGAAAAACAUCCGUCUGAAACACAUGAGAUGGUUCAUAAUUAAGUGUUCAUGUUACCAGGUAACAUCAAGACCAUGACAACAAGUGUAGCUUUAUAUUCCAGAACAACAUAAUGUGGAUAAAUGGAGCAAUCCCAAAUUCAAAUGGAAAAUCUGCUUUGCUGGAAGAGACUCUAAGCAGGAUGAAUGUGUGUGAAAUUGACUGCUGAGAAAUAGGAUUCCAUGGGCAAGAGCAACUGCUCAGGAAUUUAAAAAAUAUAUGGUUGACAAUGAUCAAUAGCCAUUACGUAGGUUACCAGCAGGAAUUUACCUUUUUGAUAAUUCAUAUAUGUGUCCAGCAGACAUUUAUUGAAUUCCCAAGACCAGCCAUGCCAAGUACUGACACUGGGGAGCAGAGUCCCUGUCCUCAAGGAGCUCGUGAUCUGACUUCGUGCAGAACACAUCUGGAACAGAGCGGUGGUACACAUAACCCUGCAGGGCCCCGCUGGCUGCCUGAGGCAGGGUACCACAGGGAAGUGGGAGAGUUCCCCUCUACCCCUGUUGAGUUCUUAUAGCUGCACUAAUAAUAAAAUUGACACAAGACAGAUUAACAGGAGAAAAAGAACCUUUUUCAUUCAUGAGCAUGGAGGUUUUAUAGAAAUAGGACCUAAGAAGUGGCCAAAGCAGGAAGCUUCUAUGUUUUUUAGACAAAGAAACAGUACAUUUGAGAGGAAUUGACAGGACACAAAAACUUAGGUUUUGGGUGCUCAAUUAGUGAUGAAUUUAAACAGAAUUUGGUCUUGAGGUAGUAAUUGAAAAGAAGUAACAAGGUUUGUUUAUUUGUUUAUAUAGGCUUCUCAGCCCGAAUUCCCUAUCUCUGGCAAUUAGAGUGUCCUUCUACUUCCAGAUGCGGCGAGUGUCCCUUUCACAUGAGAGAUUUAUUUCCUCCUUUCAGGGAGACAGAGAGGAGGGUCAGUGUGUCCCUCUUGCAUUGGCUGUUUCUUAGGUCACUUUCAUUCAAAAUAAUCAAUAUGUCACGAGGCACAUUUUGGGGCAGCCUACUCUGGGCUCCAACAGUACCGGUGAGCUGAGGGUUGAAGAAAAGAAGCAGGUAAAUAAGCCGGGGGGUUGGAGAGGCGGGAUCCUUCCAGUGGAUUCUCUGUCUGCUGAAGGGAGCUCAGCAAUUUUUGUUAGUUGCAGCCCAAAGAGUAUUAAUUAGAAGAGGCAUCCAAAGAGGAAAAGUUGAUUGUUCGAGGACCUUGAAGUGAAAAGAACAAAGUGCUCAAAAAAAAAAAAGAAAAAGAAAACCAAA